AAUGCGCCGAGGCCGAGCUGCCGGCCUGGCUGGCGCGGCUGAUGCCGGCCGAGGUCCUCGUCAACCGCGAACAG
RNAcentral lists this non-coding RNA (74 nucleotides) under uncultured Vannella. The record is from RNAcentral. Lineage: Eukaryota; Discosea; Flabellinia; Vannellidae.